This 253-nucleotide ribosomal RNA is filed under the name uncultured bacterium. RNAcentral's name for it is "partial 16S ribosomal RNA". It matches the Rfam family "Bacterial small subunit ribosomal RNA", at positions 524 to 776 of the family's 1533-position model. The record is from RNAcentral.
UACAGAGGGGGCAAGCGUUGUUCGGAAUUACUGGGCGUAAAGGGCGCGUAGGCGGCCUUCUAAGUCGAACGUGAAAUCCCCGGGCUCAACCCGGGAACUGCGUCCGAUACUGGAAGGCUUGAAUCCGGGAGAGGGAUGUGGAAUUCCAGGUGUAGCGGUGAAAUGCGUAGAUAUGACAUAGAACACCAAUUGCGAAGGCAGCUCGCUACGCGGUUAUUGACACUGAGGCACGAAAGCGUGGGGAUCAAAUAGG